Triticum dicoccoides is the source of this 3955-nucleotide long non-coding RNA. RefSeq lists it as uncharacterized. NCBI's taxonomy places the organism in Eukaryota, Viridiplantae, Streptophyta, Magnoliopsida, Poales, Poaceae. The transcript is spliced from 5 exons. The record is from RefSeq and is a predicted model, not a curated record.
AGGUUUUCCACUGGGAGAACAAUUUCUACAUGCUAAAUUGAAAUGUAUUGUCCAGUGUCUUGCGAUGUCAUUCUUUCAUUAUUCAAGCCCUUGAACACAGAACAAGGAAACAAGGAUAUUUCGGAGUCCCAGUUUCACUGCCUUCGUGGACGCUGGAGCCACUGCCACCUUUACUAUGUGUGUGGUUAGGGUAUAGAUCAAACUACAAUUCAACAAUGGUCAUCUACACCAUCAGAUCUCCGACUAUAAAACUCCAUGCUAAUGUUCCAUAUUCCUCUUUUCUGCUAAUUUUUAGAGUUUAUCCUUUUAUGAAUUACCUAAUUUCAGUCACAAGUGACAAAUAUCAGUCUAUUUGUUAACAUCUCCUUCUCCAUCAAGGUUUAUAAAUUGACUUAAGAGUAUGUAUGUGCCCCUAUCAUUUUUUUGGUUCAUCAACAUAUGAAGUAAUCAACCGUUCGAAUGAGGGAUUAGGAGUACAUCAUCUAAAAUAUUUCUAUUCCCAGUUAAAUGUGUACUGAUAAAUUUAACUAUCAAAGUCAUUGUAGUGAGAAAAAAUUUUGUUCUUAUUUGCAGGCAUUGUGUGGCGAUGAACACAUGACCAGCAAGGGGCCCUGCCCCCCUCCCAAUACUAUGGAUUUGUUCAUAAUAAACACAUGAACAAUGCAGCAUUUGCCUUGUUUUCUGCUCCAACCGGCCCUCCCCAACAUCCUAAUCCCACUAAUCCCGCCUCCGCCACUGCAGGCAUGCCGGCCUUUUCUUAAUUGCUAUACUUUUGAGGACGCAUCACUAAAAAAACUAAAAGAGGUUUCAUGGCAAUGAUGAAGUGCUACCAAAUUAUGUUCCAAGAAAAAUGAUUUCUACUUCAACUUGACUACAUGCAUGUUAAAUUGUUGACCCGAUUUGACGGACUAUAUAAGUGCUCUUCUCCUUGGGAAUUUGAAAGCACGCCCCUUCUAAGCAUCGCACAAUAUAUAUGCUUAUAUAUGUGGUAGCAGUCAUUGGUACAAGCAUAUGUGCAUUAGACCAGAAAAAAGGUUUCAAACUCGCAGAGCAUAUUGAAGGUGGUACAAAUCAUUGCAGAGUGAAUUACAAGUAGCUAUAUGUGGAUUGGAAUUUACUGAAGCUUUGCAUAUUCAAAAUUUUAAGUUAAAUGAGACGUGCAUUGCACGUGCAAGGUUACUAGUGGUAGUAAAGGAGCAGGCGAACAAGACGGUAAGAAAGGGAUCCCACCCGGUGCUGAGCCCUCUCUCCAACCGUGCGAGCGAACGCAUGGGAAGUCAAAAAGCAUGCACCGUGCGUGCAUCAUCUGCGGUGGUUAAGAGAUGGACUGACACAUGCUCACACGUUGCUGCCUUUUCGCACUAUGACUGGUGGGCCGAGUUGGCUGCUGGUCCCACGGGUAUGUGCCUUGCCUUUGUUCUCGCUCGUGUAUCAUCUGGGGUUGGAGAGAGCCGGCUCGUGGGUCGUGCGUCGUGUCGUGCGCCAUGCCGGGUCCUGCGGCUGGGUGUGGGUGUUCGCUUUUGAUGCAGCGCUGAACGUGCAGCGAAGACAGUGUUCCCUCCCGUCCCAAGCCGUGCACCCCCUCCUUCCCUCUCUCCUCCUUUCUCCUCCCUAGCCACCGAUCUGCCUUCUCGUCUCGCUGCUUCGUCUCCUCCACCGCCUUGUCUCCGGCCGCUGGCCUCCCGGCAGCCCUACCUCACAACAUGUUUCUCGAGGAGCAACGCGAGCAAGGCCAGCAUACGAAAGGAGUGGAUCGAGGCUUCGCACGCUGGCUCCGUCAUCUGCUUCGCCACGUUCUGGAUUCGCGCCGCCGUGUGUGAUGGUUCUAGAUCAGUGCAGGUCAUCGCCGCGGGAUAUCAGGGGCGGUGGGUUCUUCACAUCGAGGGUUGGCAAGCUGGGGAGGGUCAAGAGGCUGACAUGGCAUGUUUAGAGCAGCGAGGUCGGCUGUAGGGGAGCGGCUACCCCGGAGCUUCAGACUGCGCACGCGUGGCGAGUUUGGCUAUGGGGGUGCGGUUGCCCAGAGCUCGGUUGCGCACGCCUCAUGGGAUCUUGUCUCACCUGGCACUCGAUGCCGGCCUCGUCGGCUUCCCGAGGUGACAGAACGACGGUCACACUCGACACCCUCUUUCAUGAUUCGACGACAACCGGCUCAUACGGCAGCCUCAGCGGGUAGCUGACGACGACUGCAGCUGGUGCACGAGCUCUCAGUCGACAUAUCCACACUCGACUCCUCGUCUCAGUACCAGCUCUUGCAGCAUGUUCGAAGUUUUCUCUUUUUUCCAUUCUUCAUUUGUUUGACCUGGUUCUGCUCGGGUGGAUACAGGGUGCGGAGUGCGGACUAAGAGUUGGAUGCUCUGUGCUAGCAUAUAGAAGUGUUGCAACCACCACUGUUCCGGCUGUGAGGUAUAAUGCAAAUUGGGCUUGUGAAUUAAUCAUGUCUGGGAAUGGAUUGCCUAAUUGUUGGGGUUUCUCAGUAUGUAAUUUCUUUUACUCAUUGUAGAUUCUUAAUUCGGUGGUUCUUGAUUGCAACCUGGGGUCAUCCUGUUCCUACUCACAUGUUACAGUAGUGUUUUGUAUAAUAUACCCAACCUCUCGCUCCUGAAAAUUACCCGUCUUCUCUGAUGCACGCGGGUCACUGGAGGAGAGGGGGUCUGGCUUGUGAGUUUCGCCGAUGCGGUCACAACGGCGAUGCCAAACUCUGAGGAGAUACUAAAGGUGUACUGGGAGGCGGUGCUUCCUGGAAUCCCAAUGCCUCCACCUAUUAUCAACCUGAUGUUAGCCCAGCAAAAUGGUAUCUCUCUCCUUCCCUCCCUCCCUCCCUUCCCACCUUGGUGACCUCAUUUAAGUGGUUUUGAUAAUUGGUGGUACAACUUUCCCUCUUUGAUACCUACAAAUUCUUUAUAACGACUCUUAGUUUGCAAUCCAUUAUGGAACAUAAAUGAACAUACUAGAUGUGAAUCUUUUGUUAUGAUGAAUGAUAAAUGUUUGACUUAAAGCAUAGACUAUCGCAUAUACAAUACAAUAUGUGUACCACAAAGGAUAAAUUAACCUUUUCUCUACCGGUGAACUGAGAGCUUACAGUGGCUAAUUUGAUAAGAAGCAUAGUACUUGUAUCGUUCAGAAAAUGACCCUUCUGUACUUCAUUUUCAGGGAUAGUCCUAUUGUGCUUUGUUUUUAUAUGAUCUAAAACUACAGAGUUCUUGUGCAGUUCAGAUGUUCUGUUUUGUACGAAUUUUACUAUAUCUGAACUUCUGAAAUUAGUAUAAGUCUAACAGCCUUGCAACCAAACCAAAACUAAAACUGCAGGGAUCUUGUGACAGCCUUGCAACCAAAACUAGAACUACAGGGAUCUUGUGUAGUUGAAAGCUAGCUGUCGUUUGUUGGAAUAUCAAUUAUCUUGUUUGUGCACGAUUAACCUGCUUAUCAUGAAAAGGUAGAAUAUUUUAGGACAGACCAUCAAGUUGGUUGGGAUUUGUUUAGAUCUUUAUGAGAAGCAGCUCUUCUCAGUGGGACUUUUCUUUUUUAUCCAGCCUAAACAUAUUCAGCCUUUCACCUAAAAUGUUAUUACUUUCUCAUGUCCUACUUUUUGUUACACGAUGUUCAAGAAAGAAUUAUGGAUCAUUUUGUCAUGAAGCAUGAUCAGUGCCACCUCUUUCUUCUGUGUAGUGCUAGGCUAGAUUGGUAUUCUCUUUACUGCUCCAGUUGGAUUAUAUCUCAAACUUCUCUUGUUCCUAUGCUGAGAUUCUCCUAGCCAGUGGCAAGGGUACAUACUGCCUCAUCUUCUUUUUUCCUUUACAUUUUUCUUCGAUUGGAAGGAGUGGAUUACUGCCACCAAGUUCUUGGAUAAAAUGAAGAAAGAUAUGUAUGACGUCAUGUCAGUUAUUUUGUUUUACAACAAAAUGGAUAGUUCAUGUAUUCCCUACCGAGCAAGAUUUAUGUUGAGGUGUGGCAUCUA